RNAcentral lists this ribosomal RNA (500 nucleotides) under uncultured bacterium. Its description in RNAcentral is "partial 16S ribosomal RNA". It matches the Rfam family "Bacterial small subunit ribosomal RNA", at positions 30 to 523 of the family's 1533-position model. The record is from RNAcentral.
AUUGAACGCUGGCGGCAUGCCUUACACAUGCAAGUCGAACGGCAGCACGGGAGCAAUCCUGGUGGCGAGUGGCGAACGGGUGAGUAAUGUAUCGGAACGUGCCCAGUCGUGGGGGAUAACGCAGCGAAAGCUGUGCUAAUACCGCAUACGAUCUAUGGAUGAAAGCGGGGGAUCGCAAGACCUCGCGCGAUUGGAGCGGCCGAUAUCAGAUUAGGUAGUUGGUGGGGUAAAGGCCCACCAAGCCGACGAUCUGUAGCUGGUCUGAGAGGACGACCAGCCACACUGGAACUGAGACACGGUCCAGACUCCUACGGGAGGCAGCAGUGGGGAAUUUUGGACAAUGGGCGCAAGCCUGAUCCAGCAAUGCCGCGUGCAGGAUGAAGGCCUUCGGGUUGUAAACUGCUUUUGUACGGAACGAAACGGCUCUCUCUAAUACAGGGGGCUAAUGACGGUACCGUAAGAAUAAGCACCGGCUAACUACGUGCCAGCAGCCGCAGUAA